RNAcentral lists this ribosomal RNA (444 nucleotides) under uncultured bacterium. RNAcentral's name for it is "bacterial SSU rRNA". It matches the Rfam family "Bacterial small subunit ribosomal RNA", at positions 330 to 792 of the family's 1533-position model. The record is from RNAcentral.
UCCAGACUCCUACGGGAGGCAGCAGUGGGGAAUAUUGCACAAUGGGGGGAACCCUGAUGUAGCGACGCCGCGUGGGUGAGGAAGUACUUCGGUAUGUAAAGCCCUAUCAGCAGGGAAGAAAAUGACGGUACCUGACUAAGAAGCCCCGGCUAACUACGUGCCAGCAGCCGCGGUAAUACGUAGGGGGCAAGCGUUAUCCGGAUUUAUUGGGUUUAAAGGGUGCGUAGGCGGAAUAUCAAGUCAGCGGUAAAAAUUCGGGGCUCAACCCCGUCGUGCCGUUGAAACUGAUGUUCUUGAGUGGGCGAGAAGUAUGCGGAAUGCGUGGUGUAGCGGUGAAAUGCAUAGAUAUCACGCAGAACUCCGAUUGCGAAGGCAGCGUACCGGCGCCCAACUGACGCUGAAGCACGAAGGCGUGGGUAUCGAACAGGAUUAGAUACCCUUGUA